Molecule: ribosomal RNA, 587 nt
Filed under: fungal sp. 51670
Lineage: Eukaryota; Fungi
Also listed under: 1 other name
Description: eukaryotic LSU rRNA
Rfam family: 5.8S ribosomal RNA (bases 221-374)
Source: RNAcentral
GGUUUCCGUAGGUGAACCUGCGGAAGGAUCAUUACCGAGUGCGGGUCCUUUGGGCCCAACCUCCCAUCCGUGUCUAUUAUACCCUGUUGCUUCGGCGGGCCCGCCGCUUGUCGGCCGCCGGGGGGGCGCCUUUGCCCCCCGGGCCCGUGCCCGCCGGAGACCCCAACACGAACACUGUCUGAAAGCGUGCAGUCUGAGUUGAUUGAAUGCAAUCAGUUAAAACUUUCAACAAUGGAUCUCUUGGUUCCGGCAUCGAUGAAGAACGCAGCGAAAUGCGAUAACUAAUGUGAAUUGCAGAAUUCAGUGAAUCAUCGAGUCUUUGAACGCACAUUGCGCCCCCUGGUAUUCCGGGGGGCAUGCCUGUCCGAGCGUCAUUGCUGCCCUCAAGCCCGGCUUGUGUGUGGGGUCGCCGUCCCCCUCUCCGGGGGGACGGGCCCGAAAGGCAGCGGCGGCACCGCGUCCGAUCCUCGAGCGUAUGGGGCUUUGUCACAUGCUCUGUAGGAUUGGCCGGCGCCUGCCGACGUUUUCCAACCAUUCUUUCCAGGUUGACCUCGGAUCAGGUAGGGAUACCCGCUGAACUUAAGCAU